This 249-nucleotide unclassified non-coding RNA is filed under the name Hevea brasiliensis (rubber tree). The record is from RNAcentral. Lineage: Eukaryota; Viridiplantae; Streptophyta; Magnoliopsida; Malpighiales; Euphorbiaceae.
CAGCGGCAGAGAAAACUAUAAGUGGAAAGAGGGUCGAUGGGUUAAGUAAGGAUGAGGUUCCCUUUGCUGGCACUCUUAAUAAUAGUGACUCCCGGCCAUCUGAAUGAUUUGUCAGGCUCAUAGGCUCCCCAGAGUAAAAAUUGGGAUCCUUUGGGCUAAAUUUAAUAGGACCAACUUCUCUGAAUACAUUUGACGGAGCUGCAGCAGCAAUUGUCACCCUUUCUCCCUCUCGUGCUGGGAGAUCUGCUG